This 497-nucleotide ribosomal RNA is filed under the name uncultured bacterium. Its description in RNAcentral is "partial 16S ribosomal RNA". It matches the Rfam family "Bacterial small subunit ribosomal RNA", at positions 28 to 507 of the family's 1533-position model. The record is from RNAcentral.
GAUGAACGCUGGCGGCGUGCCUAAUACAUGCAAGUCGAGCGAACAGACGAGGAGCUUUCUCCUCUGACGUUAGCGGCGGACGGGUGAGUAACACGUGGAUAACCUACCUAUAAGACUGGGAUAACUUCGGGAAACCGGAGCUAAUACCGGAUAAUAUAUUGAACCGCAUGGUUCAAUAGUGAAAGACGGUUUUGCUGUCACUUAUAGAUGGAUCCGCGCCGCAUUAGCUAGUUGGUAAGGUAACGGCUUACCAAGGCGACGAUGCGUAGCCGACCUGAGAGGGUGAUCAGCCACACUGGAACUGAGACACGGUCCAGACUCCUACGGGAGGCAGCAGUAGGGAAUCUUCCGCAAUGGGCGAAAGCCUGACGGAGCAACGCCGCGUGAGUGAUGAAGGUCUUCGGAACGUAAAACUCUGUUAUUAGGGAAGAAAAAAUGUGUAAGUAACUAUGCACGUCUUGACGGUACCUAAUCAGAAAGCCACGGCUAACUACGUG